Molecule: ribosomal RNA, 468 nt
Filed under: uncultured bacterium
Lineage: Bacteria
Description: partial 16S ribosomal RNA
Rfam family: Bacterial small subunit ribosomal RNA
Source: RNAcentral
GACGAACGCUGGCGGCGUGCUUAACACAUGCAAGUCGAACGGAAAGGCCCUGCUUUUGUGGGGUGCUCGAGUGGCGAACGGGUGAGUAACACGUGAGUAACCUGCCCUUGACUUUGGGAUAACUUCAGGGAACUGGGGCUAAUACCGGAUAGGAGCUCCUGCUGCAUGGUGGGGGUUGGAAAGUUUCGGCGGUUGGGGAUGGACUCGCGGCUUAUCAGCUUGUUGGUGGGGUAGUGGCUUACCAAGGCUUUGACGGGUAGCCGGCCUGAGAGGGUGACCGGCCACAUUGGGACUGAGAUACGGCCCAGACUCCUACGGGAGGCAGCAGUGGGGAAUAUUGCACAAUGGGCGGAAGCCUGAUGCAGCAACGCCGCGUGCGGGAUGACGGCCUUCGGGUUGUAAACCGCUAUCGCCUGUGACGAAGCGUGAGUGACGGUAAUGGGUAAAGAAGCACCGGCUAACUACGUG